This 72-nucleotide transfer RNA is filed under the name Aspergillus affinis. Its description in RNAcentral is "tRNA-Cys". Lineage: Eukaryota; Fungi; Ascomycota; Eurotiomycetes; Eurotiales; Aspergillaceae. The record is from RNAcentral.
AAGAGCUUUAGCAAAGGGUUAUAUGUUUUGACUGCAAAUCGAAACAAAGGGAUUCGAUUUCCCCGGCUCUAU